RNAcentral lists this ribosomal RNA (270 nucleotides) under uncultured archaeon. Its description in RNAcentral is "partial 16S ribosomal RNA". It matches the Rfam family "Archaeal small subunit ribosomal RNA", at positions 477 to 747 of the family's 1478-position model. The record is from RNAcentral.
CAGCACCUCAAGUGGUCAGGAUGAUUAUUGGGCCUAAAGCAUCCGUAGCCGGCGCUGUAAGUUUUCGGUUAAAUCUGUACACUCAACGUACAGGCUGCCGGGAAUACUGCAGCGCUAGGGAGUGGGAGAGGUAGACGGUACUCGGUAGGAAGGGGUAAAAUCCUUUGAUCUAUUGAUGACCACCUGUGGCGAAGGCGGUCUACCAGAACACGUCCGACGGUGAGGGAUGAAAGCUGGGGGAGCAAACCGGAUUAGAUACCCGAGUAGUCC